RNAcentral lists this ribosomal RNA (254 nucleotides) under uncultured bacterium. RNAcentral describes it as "partial 16S ribosomal RNA". It matches the Rfam family "Bacterial small subunit ribosomal RNA", at positions 524 to 776 of the family's 1533-position model. The record is from RNAcentral.
UACGUAGGGGGCAAGCGUUGUCCGGAUUUAUUGGGCGUAAAAGGCUUGUAGGUGGCCACGCCAAGUCGGAUGUGAAAUCUCCCGGCUCAACUGGGAGGGGUCAUUCGAUACUGGCGGGCUCGAGGCCGGUAGGGGGAAGUGGAAUUCCCGGUGUAGUGGUGGAAUGCGUAGAUAUCGGGAGGAACACCAGUGGCGAAGGCGGCUUCCUGGACCGGUUCUGACACUGAGGAGCGAAAGCGUGGGGAGCGAUCAGG